This 482-nucleotide ribosomal RNA is filed under the name uncultured bacterium. RNAcentral's name for it is "partial 16S ribosomal RNA". It matches the Rfam family "Bacterial small subunit ribosomal RNA", at positions 30 to 507 of the family's 1533-position model. The record is from RNAcentral.
AUUGAACGCUGGCGGCAGGCCUAACACAUGCAAGUCGAGCGGAUGAAGGGAGCUUGCUCCUGGAUUCAGCGGCGGACGGGUGAGUAAUGCCUAGGAAUCUGCCUGGUAGUGGGGGAUAACGUCCGGAAACGGGCGCUAAUACCGCAUACGUCCUGAGGGAGAAAGUGGGGGAUCUUCGGACCUCACGCUAUCAGAUGAGCCUAGGUCGGAUUAGCUAGUUGGUGGGGUAAAGGCCUACCAAGGGGACGAACCGUAACUGGUCUGAGAGGAUGAUCAGGCACACUGGAACUGAGACACGGUCCAGACCCCUACGGGAGGCAGCAGUGGGGAAUAGUGGACAAUGGGCGAAAGCCUGAUCAAGCCAUGACGCGUGUGAAGAAGGUCUUCGGAUUGUAAAGCACUUUAAGUUGGGAGGAAGGGCAGUAAGUUAAUACCUUGCUGUUUUGACGUUACCAACAGAAUAAGCACCGGCUAACUUCGUG